GACGAACGCUGGCGGCGUGCUUAGCACAUGCAAGUCGAACGGAAAGGCCCUGCUUUUGUGGGGUGCUCGAGUUGCGAACGGGUGAGUAACACGUGAGUAACCUGCCCUUGACUUUGGGAUAACUUCAGGAAACUGGGGCUAAUACCGGAUAGGAGCUCCUGCUGCAUGGUGGGGGUUGGAAAGUUUCGGCGGUUGGGGAUGGACUCGCGGCUUAUCAGCUUGUUGGUGGGGUAGUGGCUUACCAAGGCUUUGACGGGUAGCCGGCCUGAGAGGGUGACCGGCCACAUUGGGACUGAGAUACGGCCCAGACUCCUACGGGAGGCAGCAGUGGGGAAUAUUGCACAAUGGGCGGAAGCCUGAUGCAGCAACGCCGCGUGCGGGAUGACGGCCUUCGGGUUGUAAACCGCUUUCGCUCAUGACGAAGCUUUGUGUGACGGUAGUGGGUAAAGAAGCACCGGCUAACUACGUG
Molecule: ribosomal RNA, 469 nt
Filed under: uncultured bacterium
Lineage: Bacteria
Description: partial 16S ribosomal RNA
Rfam family: Bacterial small subunit ribosomal RNA
Source: RNAcentral